RNAcentral lists this long non-coding RNA (1164 nucleotides) under Prunus persica (peach). RNAcentral describes it as "long non-coding RNA (PPER_LNC002656)". The record is from RNAcentral. Lineage: Eukaryota; Viridiplantae; Streptophyta; Magnoliopsida; Rosales; Rosaceae.
AUAAACAUGUGGAGCCCACUAACUAUUCAUUACUGUUCAUUACUGUUCAUUUGGCGGCUUGAUAGAGUUUUCAUUACUGUUCAUUACUGUUCAUUUGGCGGCUUUGAUAGAGUUUGUCUGUCACGGGUGAACAGUGAUGAAUAGUGAUGAAUAGUGAUUAUUUCAGCCUAUAAAUAAGAAGAGAAACGGAAAGAAGAAGAGAAGAAAAAAGAGAAAGGAAGAGAAGGAAGAAAGAGGAAAGAGAGAGCAGAGAGAAAUUCUCCUAGAGAGAAAAUUCAGUGAGCCACAUAUAUUGUAAACACUAAACUUGUAGCCCUAUUAUUUUACAUAGUGGAAAAGUUACUACUGCUGCUCUCCGAGGACGUAGGCAUAGCCGAACCUCGUUAAAUGCUGUGUCUCAUCUACUUUACGUGCAGCUCUGAAUUAUCGCCCAUAUUCUAGGUUAUUUUAUAACACGUUAUCAGCACGAGAAGCUCUCAGGUAUAAUUUUUGUGCUGCACUAUUAUUUAUAAUACUAACCAUUAUGUUGAUGUAAAGAAGAAAAGCCAACGCAUCUAGCUUUCCACUAAUAUAUAUAUAUAUAUGAAAAGUUGAUGGUAAUAUAAUAUACUAUAUUUAUCUGCUUUUCUAUUACUAACCAUUAACAAAAAUGGACCCUUGGUAAUACUAAACAUAUUAUCAGUGGGAGACCGUUACUAAUACUAACAAUUUAAUUUAUGAAUUUAAAUUACCGCACAUUUACAUUUAUUUAAAAGGGUGGUGCGGGUUUAUCGUCCACGCCUUUACGUUCAUUUAAAAGUAUGGAGCAGAAUUAGUGCCCAUACACGCACGUUUAAUUUAUGAAUUUAAAUUACCGCACAUUUACAUUUAUUUAAAAGGGUGGUGCGGGUUUAUCGUCCACGCCUUUACUUUUAUUUAAAGUGUGGUGCGGGUUUUAUCGUCCAUACCAGUAAUUUAUUUACCAGCAAUUUAUUUUAUAGACUAAAUGUGCUGUAUGAUGAGUUUUUACAGUAUGCAGAUCAGGACCAGCAAUUCCUUGAUCCUCAUCAUACAAUUACAUCAGGACUUGAAGAUCCUUGAUGAUGAUAUUGAUAUGAGAGCUGGCAGUCUCUCCGGUACUAUACUUGUAAACAUGUGAUUGGACUUAAAGGUCCUUGAUCCCUG